Molecule: long non-coding RNA, 732 nt
Filed under: Bos taurus (domestic cattle)
Lineage: Eukaryota; Metazoa; Chordata; Mammalia; Artiodactyla; Bovidae
Description: long non-coding RNA NONBTAT025414
Source: RNAcentral
UAUCAUCAUAUUUGUUUAUCUAAAAUUUGGGAAUGAAAUAGGAACUUAAAAGUAGAAACUUAUACUCAUGAAAAGAAUUUUGUUAGUCUUUUUUUCCUAAUAAGAAGGAUCAUCUAGUAAGGUCACUCUUCUGAACUUCAUAUGCUUCCGUUUUUAUUUGCCCUUGUUUAGUUUAGUCCCAUGAAAAACUCAAGGGCCACAAAGUUGGCCAAAGUCGGUUUUAGAAGGUUUGAUGUUUGACUUCAUGCAGAUGAAUUUAGAAGGGAAAAAGGGUUUACGGAAAAGGAAUUCCUCUAUUAACUUGCUUGAUGUAUAAGCAUGUAUUCUCUAAAUAGAUCUUUGUUUUCAAAAGUAUUUUAAAGCUUCUUUGGGUUUUAUCCCCUUUAAGUAAAAUGUAGUGAUUACAGCAAUUUUAGGUUAGAUGUAAGGAGUUGAAUAUCUGUUAGUUUCUGUGGAUUGCAGUAUGAUGGGUAUUUUUGGCAUGUUAGAGCAGAACUGAAGGUUGAGAGCAGGCUGUUGAUUUCUCUGUAGGCAUUGUGCUGAUGUUGUACAUGAAACCAAAGGAAAAUUCCAGAAGGUGAAGAGGAUGCUUCUGCACGCAGAUCUGAUUGUGAAGGGAAUAAAAGCAAAUCACUUGUGUGGGUCAAAAUCUAAUGCACUCCUGUCUUAAGUAUUCACAUGCACUGAAGAGUACUGUGGCUUAUAUUGGAUGGAUAGCUUUGCAGUUCUCUA